CAAUAGCGUAUACUAAAGUUGUUGCAGUUAAAAGCUCGUAGUUGAAUUUCUGGUCGUGGCGAUCGGUCCGCCCCUCACGGGGUGUGCACGGGAUUCACGACGUUUACUUUGAAAAAUUAGAGUGUUCAAAGCAGGCAUUCGCUUGAAUAUCUCAGCAUGGAAUAAUAAGAAUAGGACUUUGGUCUUAUUUUGUUGGUUUCCGAGACCGAAGUAAUGAUUAAUAGGGACAGUUGGGGGCAUUCGUAUUUCAUUGUCAGAGGUGAAAUUCUUGGAUUUAUGAAAGACGAACUUCUGCGAAAGCAUUUGCCAAGGAUGUUUUCAUUAAUCAAGAACGAAAGUUGG
This 342-nucleotide ribosomal RNA is filed under the name uncultured eukaryote. RNAcentral describes it as "bacterial SSU rRNA". It matches the Rfam family "Eukaryotic small subunit ribosomal RNA", at positions 592 to 993 of the family's 1831-position model. The record is from RNAcentral.